RNAcentral lists this ribosomal RNA (468 nucleotides) under uncultured bacterium. Its description in RNAcentral is "partial 16S ribosomal RNA". It matches the Rfam family "Bacterial small subunit ribosomal RNA", at positions 28 to 507 of the family's 1533-position model. The record is from RNAcentral.
GACGAACGCUGGCGGCGUGCUUAACACAUGCAAGUCGAACGGAAAGGCCCUGCUUUUGUGGGGUGCUCGAGUGGCGAACGGGUGAGUAACACGUGAGUAACCUGCCCUUGACUUUGGGAUAACUUCAGGAAACUGGGGCUAAUACCGGAUAGGAGCUCCUGCUGCAUGGUGGGGGUUGGAAAGUUUCGGCGGUUGGGGAUGGACUCGCGGCUUAUCAGCUUGUUGGUGGGGUAGUGGCUUACCAAGGCUUUGACGGGUAGCCGGCCUGAGAGGGUGACCGGCGACAUUGGGACUGAGAUACGGCCCAGACUCCUACGGGAGGCAGCAGUGGGGAAUAUUGCACAAUGGGCGGAAGCCUGAUGCAGCAACGCCGCGUGCGGGAUGACGGCCUUCGGGUUGUGAACCGCUUUCGCCUGUGACGAAGCGUGAGUGACGGUAAUGGGUAAAGAAGCACCGGCUAACUACGUG